CAAGGCAGCGAGGGACGACAAAUGGUACGCAUCCGGCGAGCACUAGUGCUGGCAGGUAGCGAGCGAAAUAGUCGUCAAGAUCAUCAAGACCGCUGGUGAUGAGGAUGGCGAGCUCGCCGACCCGCUGGCUGGCUAGCCAUUCUGGGCCGCGUCGCGCUGUGGCAGCCAUGAGGUCGAUACGGAGUCGCGAUUUCACUAUGGCGGCGAUGUGAUGAGCUGCCGUCUCGCUGCCCCACACCCACCCCGGCCCUGGCGAUAACGACGCCGGCCAAUACCAAAAGUGGCA
Molecule: ribosomal RNA, 286 nt
Filed under: uncultured bacterium
Lineage: Bacteria
Description: partial 16S ribosomal RNA
Source: RNAcentral